UACAGAGGGGGCAAGCGUUGUUCGGAAUUACUGGGCGUAAAGGGCGCGUAGGCGGCCUGCUAAGUCGAACGUGAAAUCCCCGGGCUCAACCCGGGAACUGCGUCCGAUACUGGGAGGCUUGAAUCCGGGAGAGGGAUGUGGAAUUCCAGGUGUAGCGGUGAAAUGCGUAGAUAUCUGGAGGAACACCGGUGGCGAAGGCGGCAUCCUGGACCGGUAUUGACGCUGAGGCGCGAAAGCCAGGGGAGCAAACGGG
RNAcentral lists this ribosomal RNA (253 nucleotides) under uncultured bacterium. RNAcentral's name for it is "partial 16S ribosomal RNA". It matches the Rfam family "Bacterial small subunit ribosomal RNA", at positions 524 to 776 of the family's 1533-position model. The record is from RNAcentral.